UACGGAGGGUGCAAGCGUUAUCCGGAUUCACUGGGUUUAAAGGGUGCGUAGGCGGCUAUAUAAGUCAGUGGUGAAAGCUUCCCGCUCAACGGGAAAACUGCCAUUGAAACUGCAUAGCUUGAAUAUGGUUGAAGUGGAUGGAAUAUAUCAUGUAGCGGUGAAAUGCUUAGAUAUGAUGUAGAACACCGAUUGCGAAGGCAGUUCACUAAGCCAUCAUUGACGCUGAGGCACGAAAGCGUGGGUAGCGAACAGG
Molecule: ribosomal RNA, 253 nt
Filed under: uncultured bacterium
Lineage: Bacteria
Description: partial 16S ribosomal RNA
Rfam family: Bacterial small subunit ribosomal RNA
Source: RNAcentral